AGUGAACGCUGGCGGUAGGCCUAACACAUGCAAGUCGAACGGCAGCACAGUAAGAGCUUGCUCUUACGGGUGGCGAGUGGCGGACGGGUGAGGAAUACAUCGGAAUCUACUUUUUCGUGGGGGAUAACGUAGGGAAACUUACGCUAAUACCGCAUACGACCUACGGGUGAAAGCAGGGGAUCUUCGGACCUUGCGCGAUUGAAUGAGCCGAUGUCGGAUUAGCUAGUUGGCGGGGUAAAGGCCCACCAAGGCGACGAUCCGUAGCUGGUCUGAGAGGAUGAUCAGCCACACUGGAACUGAGACACGGUCCAGACUCCUACGGGAGGCAGCAGUGGGGAAUAUUGGACAAUGGGCGCAAGCCUGAUCCAGCCAUACCGCGUGGGUGAAGAAGGCCUUCGGGUUGUAAAGCCCUUUGUUGGGAAAGAAAAGCAGCAGGUUAAUACCCCGCUGUUCUGACGGUACCCAAAGAAUAAGUACCGGCUAACUUCGUG
This 491-nucleotide ribosomal RNA is filed under the name uncultured bacterium. Its description in RNAcentral is "partial 16S ribosomal RNA". It matches the Rfam family "Bacterial small subunit ribosomal RNA", at positions 29 to 507 of the family's 1533-position model. The record is from RNAcentral.